Molecule: ribosomal RNA, 249 nt
Filed under: uncultured bacterium
Lineage: Bacteria
Description: partial 16S ribosomal RNA
Rfam family: Bacterial small subunit ribosomal RNA
Source: RNAcentral
CGAACGUGGGUAACCGUGCCCAACGAGACUGGGAUAACACCUGGAAACAGAUGCUAAUACCGGAUAACAACACAAGACGCAUGUCUAGNGUUUAAAGAUGGUUCUGCUAUCACUCUUGGAUGGACCUGCGGUGCAUUAGCUAGUUGGUAAGGUAACGGCUUACCAAGGCAAUGAUGCAUAGCCGAGUUGAGAGACUGAUCGGCCACAUUGGGACUGAGACACGGCCCAAACUCCUACGGAAGGCAGCAG